RNAcentral lists this ribosomal RNA (253 nucleotides) under uncultured bacterium. Its description in RNAcentral is "partial 16S ribosomal RNA". It matches the Rfam family "Bacterial small subunit ribosomal RNA", at positions 524 to 776 of the family's 1533-position model. The record is from RNAcentral.
UACGUAGGGGGCAAGCGUUGUCCGGAUUUAUUGGGCGUAAAGAGCUCGUAGGCGGUUUGUCGCGUCUGCUGUGAAAACCCGAGGCUUAACCUCGGGCCUGCAUUCGAUACGGGCUGACUAGAGUUCGGUAGGGGAGACUGGAAUUCCUGGUGUAGCGGUGAAAUGCGCAGAUAUCAGGAGGAACACCGGUGGCGAAGGCGGGUCUCUGGGCCGAUACUGACGCUGAGGAGCGAAAGCGUGGGGAGCGAACAGG